UAACAUCCACUCACCCCCUGUGCACCCUUUGCGGUUCUGUGGUCGGAAUACACCCGUCUUCCUUCUGUGGCUCUGCGUCUUUACACACACGCCGUACUGAUGUCCCAUGGAAUGCUUUCGCGUUUCAUGCAAUACAAUACAACUUUCCACAACGGAUCUCUUGGCUCUCGCAUCGAUGAAAAACGCAACGAAAUGCCAUCACUAAUGUGAAUUGCACAAUUCAGUGAAUCAUCGAAUCUUUGAACGCACCUUGUGCCCCUUGGUUAUUCCUCGGGGCAUGCCUGUUUGAGUAUCAUGAACACCUCAACUCUCAUGGUCUUCCAUGAUGAGCUUGGACUUUGGGGGUUUGCUGGCCCCUGCAGCCGGCUCCUCUCAAAUGAAUCAGCUUGCCAUUGUUUGGUGACGUCACGAGUGUGAUAAACUAUCUACCGCUUGCGGACGUCCGCCAGGUAACCCUCCUCGAUGAAGGCUCAUUGGGGCUCAUAAACGUCCUCUCCCUACAGAGGACACCUUUUGAAUGUUCGACCUCCGAUCCGGUAUGACUACCCGCUGAACUUAAGCAUAUCAAUAACCGAGGAA
Molecule: ribosomal RNA, 579 nt
Filed under: Thelephora sp. Ecu102
Lineage: Eukaryota; Fungi; Basidiomycota; Agaricomycetes; Thelephorales; Thelephoraceae
Description: eukaryotic LSU rRNA
Rfam family: 5.8S ribosomal RNA (bases 141-295)
Source: RNAcentral